AAACCCAAAUUGGAUUAAAGGAUUGAUCAAGUCAUCAUCAAAAUCAAUCAUCCAUCUUGGUGGAUUAGGGUUUUCACCCCAUCAACAUCCAAGAUCCAUUGAGUUUGAUGAGACCUAUGAUCAAAAUAACCAAGAUCCAAGGCCAUUAGAGGUCAACAAAGGUCAAACAAACAUAAAAUGUAAGAAAAUAAAAUAAAAUGCAUCAAAAAUAUUUGUAAAAUGAAUUUUAAAAGGGAAAUAAAAGAGAAAUUCCAUAAAGCCCUUCAAAACACCAAAUAAAUGGCCA
This 286-nucleotide long non-coding RNA is filed under the name Lathyrus oleraceus (garden pea). Its description in RNAcentral is "Pisum sativum (pea) long non-coding RNA (PSAT_LNC008631)". The record is from RNAcentral. Lineage: Eukaryota; Viridiplantae; Streptophyta; Magnoliopsida; Fabales; Fabaceae.